This 250-nucleotide long non-coding RNA is filed under the name Polistes fuscatus (common paper wasp). Its description in RNAcentral is "uncharacterized LOC122514405". The record is from RNAcentral. Lineage: Eukaryota; Metazoa; Arthropoda; Insecta; Hymenoptera; Vespidae.
UAUCCCCUUGCUCAAAGUUAUAAAAUGUAUCUAGAAGUGGGAAUCUGCGUGUCUCACUAUUCCUCAAUUCAUCUAAUAUUGGGUAAUAAUGAAGGCACUGUGAAGGUCGUUAUCACUGCAGCAGUGGGAAGACUUUUUUGUGGAGCCUUGGAAGAUUGGGAAUAACUCGCUGAAUUUUCAAUAUUUUGGUCCAAAAAUUUUAUCAUGUAUGUAUUUAUUGUAAAUCCACAAAUAUAUCCUUAAAACAUUU